AUGCCCGCCGGCGAGGGCAAGGAUCCAGGGUCGUCACGCGCAGAGGAGCAGGAUAUUAAAGGAGAUGAUGAAGAGAAUAAGGGAGGCAUUGAUCAACCCGAGGGCCCAACAGUUGAUAAAGAGAAGAAUGACACAACUGCAAGUCAGAUCUUGAAGAUUGACGAAGAUACAGUGGAUGUCGAAAGCGAACAGUACCACGGGAAUGAUGACCUAACUGAAACCGAUGUGUCCAACGACCUACUUUGUGCUGGAGUAAAAAAUUUGAUUGUGAAGAGCUUUAAAAGGAAGCAAAGACGGACCAUUGUACGAAAGGGGAGCAUAAAGUUCCCCCUUUUGAUGUACACAGAGACCAAGACUAACUGA
This 363-nucleotide ribosomal RNA is filed under the name Triticum aestivum (bread wheat). Its description in RNAcentral is "partial small subunit ribosomal RNA". Lineage: Eukaryota; Viridiplantae; Streptophyta; Magnoliopsida; Poales; Poaceae. The record is from RNAcentral.